This 76-nucleotide transfer RNA is filed under the name Synechococcus phage S-BM3. Its description in RNAcentral is "tRNA-Asp". It matches the Rfam family "tRNA". Rfam says of the family: Transfer RNA (tRNA) molecules are approximately 80 nucleotides in length. Their secondary structure includes four short double-helical elements and three loops (D, anti-codon, and T loops). Further hydrogen bonds mediate the characteristic L-shaped molecular structure. tRNAs have two regions of fundamental functional importance: the anti-codon, which is responsible for specific mRNA codon recognition, and the 3' end, to which the tRNAs corresponding amino acid is attached (by aminoacyl-tRNA synthetases). tRNAs cope with the degeneracy of the genetic code in two manners: having more than one tRNA (with a specific anti-codon) for a particular amino acid; and 'wobble' base-pairing, i.e. permitting non-standard base-pairing at the 3rd anti-codon position. Lineage: Duplodnaviria; Heunggongvirae; Uroviricota; Caudoviricetes; Pantevenvirales; Kyanoviridae. The record is from RNAcentral.
UGGGGUUGUAGCUCAGUUGGUUAGAGCACUGCCCUGUCACGGCAGGUGUCGUGGGUUCGAGUCCCAUCAGUCCCGU